Molecule: ribosomal RNA, 445 nt
Filed under: uncultured bacterium
Lineage: Bacteria
Description: bacterial SSU rRNA
Rfam family: Bacterial small subunit ribosomal RNA
Source: RNAcentral
GCGCCCCGGGCGGGGCGGGGGCACGGGGGGAACGCGAAGAACCUUACCACCUUUUGACAUGCCUGGACCGCCAGAGAGAUGUGGCUUUCCCUUCGGGGACUGGGACACAGGUGCUGCAUGGCUGUCGUCAGCUCGUGUCGUGAGAUGUUGGGUUAAGUCCCGCAACGAGCGCAACCCUCGCCAUUAGUUGCCAUCAUUUAGUUGGGAACUCUAAUGGGACUGCCGGUGCUAAGCCGGAGGAAGGUGGGGAUGACGUCAAGUCCUCAUGGCCCUUACAGGGUGGGCUACACACGUGCUACAAUGGCGACUACAGAGGGUUAAUCCUUAAAAGUCGUCUCAGUUCGGAUUGUCCUCUGCAACUCGAGGGCAUGAAGUUGGAAUCGCUAGUAAUCGCGGAUCAACAUGCCGCGGUGAAUACGUUCCCGGGUCUUGUACACACCGACCC